GAACCGUCCAAACGUUAUUCGGAAUCAUUGGGGCUUAAAGGGGUGCGUAGGCGGUGCGGUCAGUUGGGUGUGAAAUCCCUCGGCUCAACCGAGGAACUGCGCCCAAUACUGCCGCGCUCGAGGGAGACAGAGGUAAGCGGAACUGAUGGUGGAGCGGUGAAAUGCGUUGAUAUCAUCAGGAACACCAGUGGCGAAGGCGGCUUACUGGGUCUCUUCUGACGCUGAGGCACGAAAGCUAGGGGAGCGAACGGGAUUAGAUACCCCGGUAGUCCUGGCUGUAAACGAUGAGCACUUGAUCGGAGGCUCCUCCAUAGGUUUCCGGUCGUAGCGAAAGUGUUAAGUGCUCCGCCUGGGGAGUAUGGUCGCAAAGGCUG
RNAcentral lists this ribosomal RNA (374 nucleotides) under uncultured organism. Its description in RNAcentral is "partial 16S ribosomal RNA". It matches the Rfam family "Bacterial small subunit ribosomal RNA", at positions 527 to 896 of the family's 1533-position model. The record is from RNAcentral.